This 2630-nucleotide long non-coding RNA is filed under the name Limulus polyphemus (Atlantic horseshoe crab). Its description in RNAcentral is "uncharacterized LOC111087258". Lineage: Eukaryota; Metazoa; Arthropoda; Merostomata; Xiphosura; Limulidae. The record is from RNAcentral.
GUUCGAGCAUAUUUUGGUAGCUUACUUCACGAAGAACGUAGUACUGAAAGCUCAGUACCAUGGGAGUCUCAUGAACAUGUUUUUGUUAUGAAAUCAUACUGCCAUCUGGUUGAUAAGAUUGAUAAAGCCUCACAUUCUGUAGGAAAAGAUGGAAAGUUUCAGUUGUUUAUUUGUUUUGCAGCCAGAGACCACCUGCUCCAUAGAAUGCUAUUACACGUAGCAUCUAGUCCGAUUACUGCUAGCAUGUAUGAGGAACAGUCAUUCUUGCGAGAUCCUAGCUUAGUCACAUUUCUGGUCCAGAUCUUGGAGAGCCUAUCAGAGUUCAGCAUUACCUUAGAAUCAUCUCUCACAAAAGGUGUUGAGAGUUGAUAGUACUAUGGCUGAAGAUUUCAUAUUUGAAAAUUGUUAUUCAUUAACAACUAAUCCACUUUUUUUAUGAUCUGUAUUAAAUAUUCUAUCUUGGUGUGACUCUAACGUUUUGGAUUGUCAAAAAUAUAGAUGUGAAAUAAUUUAUUUUAUUUUUUCACAUUACUGUAUUGUAUCUUCUGUUUCUAAUAGUUACUUUUUAUUGCAAAAUAUCUCUGUACAAAGAAAAUCAAUGUGUGUGUGUGUGUGUGUAUAUAUAUAUAUACUGUCAUGUAUUUAAAAAUUCAUGGUUCAUUUACUUAUGCAAAAUAAAUACUCAAUUCUUUUAUGUUAAAGUAUGUUACAAAUUGGAUAUAGAAAUAAUUUUUUUGUAACGAGAAACCUCAUUUCAGUUUUUAGGUGAAUAAUUUUCCAUUGUUAAGAAGAGUUAACUACGAAUAGCAUAAUUUUAUAAUGGCUUUUAAUACAUAAUAUAAGGAGCUUUCUAAAACUUCGAACAGAGGUUAAGCAUAAUCUUGUUUCUAAAUGAAAAGUUAAUAAUUAACAAGAAUUCAGAUUUUUUUCCUUUUUUAAGACCCAAUCUGGUCUUUGAUGUUAAAAGUUUUAAGUAGAUUGAAAUUUAAGAAAUUAUUUCAAAUUUUCUGUAAGUUAGAUGAACUGCAAUUUAAAUUAUGUGAUACAACUUACAACAUUGUAACAUACAGGUUUUUGUAGACUAACAGGUGAUAGAAGAAUUUAAAUUUAAUAUAUUAAAAUGUUCAUAUAUUUAUAGCAAUUUGGUCUCAUACUUUUGGGUUUUUUGUUGUUAUGUUUAGGAUGUUGAGAAAGUAAUGUGUGUAUAUAUCUAUAAAAGAAAGAAAGCUAGUAUAAUUAGGUGACAAAAAUUUUGUAUGAUAACUUUUGUUUUGAAAUAAUCAUGAUUUUAUAGGAUUUUACCAUAUGAUUGUUUUUUUUUUUUGUUAUCAUUCAGUGUUUUUUUCUGUGAAUAAAAAAAAAUCAAACAUGUUCUGUAAUAACUAACAGUUCUUCCCAAGCAAAGUAUCUAUCUAUAUGUAUAAGAUUGUGGUAUUACAGAUACAUUUUAUUUCAUGAAACACUUUAUGAAGGCUGUGAAAGGAUAAAAGUGGUAGAUAACUAGGUCUGAAUUCUUUUCUCAUUUGUAAAAUUAUUUCUGUCCAUUUAAAAGUACAUUUGUAAUUAUAGUGUUUUAUGUAAGUCUAUUGUACAUAUACUUACUGGUUUACAUGUUUAUUGUAGUGUUAUGUCUCAUUUGUUUUUAUUGUGUCUGUACAUAAUAGUUGGUUGGAUUUUUGUAUCUCUAAGAAUAUAAAUUACAUAUUAAGAUUUUGGGGGCUGUAAGUAAAACAUGUUUGUGCAAUAUUAUCUUCAAUUAUUUUUUUAACAAACUAUAUUACAUUAGAUUAAUAAUGGCGUUUAAGUAACUGUACCAGUCACAUUAUUUCUUUUAUUUAGUGCACACUGGAAAGUACACAGAUUUAUUUGAUAAAGAAACCAAACUCCUAAACAAAAUAAGAGGGGUAAAAGUCUGUAAAAAGUAGUAUGAAUGACAAAUAGAAUAUUUGUUUUUCAGCAGCCUCAAUUAGUAAUUAUGUAGCUGGUCUAACGUUUCUCAGGUACAAUGUUGAAAGGGAAACAAGGAAUAGUGUUGACACUAGUAACACACAUUGUGAGUUUUAGUAACUUCAAUAAGUAUGAUGUUAAAAACAUCAGUUAUUGUAAUUUAUAGCGUGCGCAUUUUCUGCAUUGGAGAUGUAGUAAGUUACUGCCCAUCAAGUUUCAUAUGGUGGUGAAAUUUGUUUCUGGUUACCUAUCAAUACACAGUUGUUAAGCUAAUGUGAACUAUUGAGGAAUGUAUAAUCUGUUUUUUUUAUGAAAGAUAUGUAGUAAUUUAUUUCGGAUAAACUGCUCUGCCUUGAUGAACGCAUUGUCAGUUACAUUGAUUUUGGUUAGUUUAUUUGAUAUUGUAUUUUUACCUGUGUUUAUGUCAUCGGUUAGGGUGUAUAAUAGUUGCUCCACCUAAAGCUCAAAAUAUGUAUAAAAAUUAACACACACACACACACUUAGAUGUCAUCAGAAUAUAAUGGAAGGAUACUGUAAUAAAAGCUCUAAUUUUAAGUUGUGUUACCAAAAUACGUGAAACCGUUUUCCAGAACGCGUCUUGAUUCCGCUCACGAAACAAGAUAACAUGUAAGUACAGUUUCCUUAAGCUAAAUAAAUAGCUUUUAAAGAGCCUUAGAAUAUUU